RNAcentral lists this ribosomal RNA (459 nucleotides) under uncultured bacterium. Its description in RNAcentral is "partial 16S ribosomal RNA". It matches the Rfam family "Bacterial small subunit ribosomal RNA", at positions 339 to 795 of the family's 1533-position model. The record is from RNAcentral.
CUACGGGGUGCAGCAGUAAGGAAUAUUGCGCAAUGGAGGCAACUCUGACGCAGCCAUGCCGCGUGCAGGAAGAAGGCCUUAUGGGUCGUAAACUGCUUUUAUUUAGGAAUAAACCCCCGAACGUGUUCGGGGCUGAAGGUACUAAACGAAUAAGCACCGGCUAACUCCGUGCCAGCAGCCGCGGUAAUACGGAGGGUGCAAGCGUUAUCCGGAUUUAUUGGGUUUAAAGGGUGCGCAGGCGGGCUAUUAAGUCAGUGGUGAAAUCCCGGGGCUCAACUCCGGAACUGCCAUUGAUACUGAUAGUCUUGAGUUUGGUUGAAGUGGGUGGAAUGUAGCAUGUAGCGGUGAAAUGCAUAGAUAUGCUACAGAACACCAAUCGCGAAGGCAGCUCACUAAGCCAAAACUGACGCUCAUGCACGAAAGCGUGGGGAUCAAACAGGAUUAGAUACCCGCGUAGUC